Molecule: ribosomal RNA, 394 nt
Filed under: uncultured bacterium
Lineage: Bacteria
Description: bacterial SSU rRNA
Rfam family: Bacterial small subunit ribosomal RNA
Source: RNAcentral
UAUUGGACAAUGGGCGGAAGCCUGAUCCAGCAACGCCGCGUGGGGGAUGAAGGCCUUCGGGUUGUAAACCCCUUUCGCUCAGGACGAAGCGCAAGUGACGGUACUGAGUAAAGAAGCCCCGGCUAACUCCGUGCCAGCAGCCGCGGUAAUACGGAGGGGGCUAGCGUUGUUCGGAAUUACUGGGCGUAAAGGGCGCGUAGGCGGUUCGGUAAGUUAGGCGUGAAAGGCCUGGGCUCAACCCGGGAACUGCGCUUAAGACUGCCGGGCUGUGAGUCCGGGAGAGGAUGGCGGAAUUCCCAGUGUAGAGGUGAAAUUCGUAGAUAUUGGGAAGAACACCAGUGGCGAAGGCGGCCAUCUGGCCCGGUACUGACGCUGAGGCGCGAAAGCGUGGGGA